Long non-coding RNA from Dermochelys coriacea (leatherback sea turtle), 222 nucleotides. RefSeq lists it as uncharacterized. Lineage: Eukaryota; Metazoa; Chordata; Testudines; Dermochelyidae. The record is from RefSeq and is a predicted model, not a curated record. The transcript has 4 exons.
AACCUGCUCUUAAAAAUCUCCAAUGAUGGAGAUUUUACAACUUCCCCAGGCAAUUUAUUCUAGUGCUUAACCACCCUGACAGUUAGGAAGUUUUUCCUAAUGUCCAACCUAAACCUCCCUUCCUGCAAUUAAAGCCCAUCGCUUCUUCUCCGAUCCUCAGAAGUUAAGAAGAACUAUUCUUCUCCCUCCUCCUUGUAGCAACCUUUACUGUGCUUGCAAACU